UGCCAGCCGCCGCGGUAAUACGGAGGGACCUAGCGUAGUUCGGAAUUACUGGGCGUAAAGCGCGCGUAGGUGGUUUAUUAAGUUGGAUGUGAAAUCCCCGGGCUCAACCUGGGAACUGCGUUUAAUACUAGCAAGCUAGAGAAAUAGAGAGGAAAGUGGAACUCCCAGUGUAGAGGUGAAAUUCGUAGAUAUUGGGAAGAACACCAGUGGCGAAAGCGACUUUCUGGCUAUUUUCUGACGCUGAGGAGCGAAAGCGUGGGGAGCAAACAGGAUUAGAUA
RNAcentral lists this ribosomal RNA (279 nucleotides) under uncultured bacterium. Its description in RNAcentral is "partial 16S ribosomal RNA". It matches the Rfam family "Bacterial small subunit ribosomal RNA", at positions 506 to 784 of the family's 1533-position model. The record is from RNAcentral.